UUGACAAAUGUUUCGAAGCUGCAUGAAUCGUGAUUGGAAAGCGGCCAUCAGUGAUUCCCAGUGCCACCGCUGGAGGCAGUAAUGCGCUGCUGAGGCUCUGGCAGAAAGCCUGAAACAAACACAGAAGAAGACUCAUUCCGUCCAUGUGCGCUUUGAGCAGCGCGAGGCUCGAGGAUUGGCAGCAACAAGAUUAAUCCAACUAAAAGACUGAAGCUUUGAACUGCCCCAAUGAUUAAACACACUACCCAUCUGACCCUGCACUCAGGGGAAGGAUUAUUUACUCUUAUAUGAGGACAAAGACCGGAGACACGUGGAGGAGUCAUCUGCUUGCGUGCUUCAUUGUGAAUAAUGUGAUCUGGUGAAGAAGUUGUCCUUGUUUGAGUCUGUUAUGGUGUGAGACUUACAUGUUGUACUUCUGUUCUGUGGAAUCCAAUAAAUGUGGUUUUAUACAGUCUUUCUGUAAUUGGGUGACUCCGAUGCUUCAUGCAGUCAUAGGAAAACCUGAAAAUAUUGUCUAGUUUUAAAGUAAUAAUAAUAAAACACACAAUAAAGAUAUUCUGGCUGAAGUUACGUUCAUGUUGUAGGUUAUGUUGUGAAUCUUUGUUUUCAGAAAACCAUGAGUUUGCGCGCUAAAUAUGAAUUUAGGCAUCACAACAUUGUGUAAGUGUUUAUAAAUAUAAAAUUAGACUAUAAGUACUACAGUAACAAAGGCGGGACCCAUG
Long non-coding RNA from Sinocyclocheilus rhinocerous, 722 nucleotides. RefSeq lists it as uncharacterized. The transcript has 3 exons. The record is from RefSeq and is a predicted model, not a curated record. NCBI's taxonomy places the organism in Eukaryota, Metazoa, Chordata, Actinopteri, Cypriniformes, Cyprinidae.